ACCCUGUUGAGCUUGGUAAGGCUAGUUCUCUUAGAAUUAGAGCUAUGUUUGUUCGGGGCUGAAGGGAAGGGAGAUAAUGCCUUCUAUGUUAUAGAAAAGAUCCAAUUUGAUUGAUUGGUGGAAGAUAGUUACCACAGGGAUAACAGCGCAAUCAUUCUGAUAAGGCCAUAUUUAAGGAGUGGUUUGCGACCUCGAUGUUGAAUCAAAAUUUCUACUAGGUGUAGCAGCUUAGUAAGUGGGACUGUUCGUCCUUUAAAAUUUUACGUGAUCUGAGUUCAGACCGG
RNAcentral lists this ribosomal RNA (284 nucleotides) under Macoma balthica. Its description in RNAcentral is "Limecola balthica partial 16S ribosomal RNA". It matches the Rfam family "Bacterial large subunit ribosomal RNA", at positions 2088 to 2619 of the family's 2925-position model. Lineage: Eukaryota; Metazoa; Mollusca; Bivalvia; Cardiida; Tellinidae. The record is from RNAcentral.